Molecule: ribosomal RNA, 1022 nt
Filed under: Serratia marcescens
Lineage: Bacteria; Pseudomonadati; Pseudomonadota; Gammaproteobacteria; Enterobacterales; Yersiniaceae
Description: partial 23S ribosomal RNA
Rfam family: Bacterial large subunit ribosomal RNA
Source: RNAcentral
CGAAGAUACCAGCUGGCUGCAACUGUUUAAUAAAAACACAGCACUGUGCAAACACGAAAGUGGACGUAUACGGUGUGACGCCUGCCCGGUGCUGGAAGGUUAAUUGAUGGGGUCAGCCGCAAGGCGAAGCUCUUGAUCGAAGCCCCAGUAAACGGCGGCCGUAACUAUAACGGUCCUAAGGUAGCGAAAUUCCUUGUCGGGUAAGUUCCGACCUGCACGAAUGGCGUAAUGAUGGCCAGGCUGUCUCCACCCGAGACUCAGUGAAAUUGAACUCGCUGUGAAGAUGCAGUGUACCCGCGGCAAGACGGAAAGACCCCGUGAACCUUUACUAUAGCUUGACACUGAACAUUGAGCCUUGAUGUGUAGGAUAGGUGGGAGGCUUUGAAGCGUGGACGCCAGUCUGCGUGGAGCCAUCCUUGAAAUACCACCCUUUAAUGUUUGAUGUUCUAACUCGGCCCCAUAAUCUGGGGUGAGGACAGUGUCUGGUGGGUAGUUUGACUGGGGCGGUCUCCUCCCAAAGAGUAACGGAGGAGCACGAAGGUUAGCUAAUCACGGUCGGACAUCGUGAGGUUAGUGCAAAGGCAUAAGCUAGCUUGACUGCGAGAGUGACGGCUCGAGCAGGUACGAAAGUAGGUCUUAGUGAUCCGGUGGUUCUGAAUGGAAGGGCCAUCGCUCAACGGAUAAAAGGUACUCCGGGGAUAACAGGCUGAUACCGCCCAAGAGUUCAUAUCGACGGCGGUGUUUGGCACCUCGAUGUCGGCUCAUCACAUCCUGGGGCUGAAGUAGGUCCCAAGGGUAUGGCUGUUCGCCAUUUAAAGUGGUACGCGAGCUGGGUUUAGAACGUCGUGAGACAGUUCGGUCCCUAUCUGCCGUGGGCGUUGGAAGAUUGAGAGGGGUUGCUCCUAGUACGAGAGGACCGGAGUGAACGCACCACUGGUGUUCGGGUUGUCAUGCCAAUGGCAUUGCCCGGUAGCUAAGUGCGGAAAAGAUAAGCGCUGAAAGCAUCUAAGCGCGAAACUUGC